Molecule: ribosomal RNA, 481 nt
Filed under: uncultured bacterium
Lineage: Bacteria
Description: bacterial SSU rRNA
Rfam family: Bacterial small subunit ribosomal RNA
Source: RNAcentral
GUUGAACGCUGGCGGCAUGCCUUACACAUGCAAGUCGAACGGCAGCACGGGAGCAAUCCUGGUGGCGAGUGGCGAACGGGUGAGUAAUAUAUCGGAACGUGCCCAGUCGUGGGGGAUAACGUAGCGAAAGCUACGCUAAUACCGCAUACGAUCUAUGGAUGAAAGCGGGGGAUCGCAAGACCUCGCGCGAUUGGAGCGGCCGAUAUCAGGUUAGGUAGUUGGUGGGGUAAAAGCCUACCAAGCCUUCGAUCUGUAGCUGGUCUGAGAGGACGACCAGCCACACUGGAACUGAGACACGGUCCAGACUCCUACGGGAGGCAGCAGUGGGGAAUUUUGGACAAUGGGCGCAAGCCUGAUCCAGCAAUGCCGCGUGCAGGAUGAAGGCCUUCGGGUUGUAAACUGCUUUGUACGGACGAAACGGCUCUUCUAAUAAAGGAGCUAAUGACGGUACCAUAAGAAUAAGCACCGGCUAACUACGUAG